RNAcentral lists this ribosomal RNA (448 nucleotides) under uncultured bacterium. RNAcentral describes it as "bacterial SSU rRNA". It matches the Rfam family "Bacterial small subunit ribosomal RNA", at positions 330 to 794 of the family's 1533-position model. The record is from RNAcentral.
GCCAGACUCCUACGGGAGGCAGCAGUGGGGGAUAUUGCACAAUGGGGGGAACCCUGAUGCAGCGACGCCGCGUGGGUGAAGGAGUAUUUCGGUAUGUAAAGCCCUAUCAGCAGGGAAGAACAAUGACGGUACCUGACUAAGAAGCCCUGGCUAACUACGUGCCAGCAGCCGCGGUAAUACGUAGGGGGCAAGCGUUAUCCGGAUUUACUGGGUGUAAAGGGAGCGUAGACGGCGAUGCAAGCCAGAUGUGAAAGCCCGGGGCUCAACCCCGGGACUGCAUUUGGAACUGUGUGGCCGGAGUGUCGGAGAGGCAGGCGGAAUUCCUAGUGUAGCGGUGAAAUGCGUAGAUAUUAGGAGGAACACCAGUGGCGAAGGCGGCCUGCUGGACGAUGACUGACGUUGAGGCUCGAAAGCGUGGGGAGCAAACAGGAUUAGAUACCCCAGUAGG